This 252-nucleotide ribosomal RNA is filed under the name uncultured bacterium. Its description in RNAcentral is "partial 16S ribosomal RNA". It matches the Rfam family "Bacterial small subunit ribosomal RNA", at positions 57 to 305 of the family's 1533-position model. The record is from RNAcentral.
GCAAGUCGAGCGGUAACAGAGAGUAGCUUGCUACUUUGCUGACGAGCGGCGGACGGGUGAGUAAUGCUUGGGAAUAUGCCUUUAGGUGGGGGACAACAGUUGGAAACGACUGCUAAUACCGCAUAACGUCUACGGACCAAAGGGGGGGAUCUUCGGACCUCUCGCCUAUAGAUUAGCCCAAGUGAGAUUAGCUAGUUGGUGAGGUAAUGGCUCACCAAGGCGACGAUCUCUAGCUGGUUUGAGAGGAUGAUC